This 692-nucleotide long non-coding RNA is filed under the name Rattus norvegicus (Norway rat). Its description in RNAcentral is "long non-coding RNA NONRATT020962". Lineage: Eukaryota; Metazoa; Chordata; Mammalia; Rodentia; Muridae. The record is from RNAcentral.
GAGGAGGAACUGGAAAACAGAACCACGGAGACAGGAGAAAAGCCUGACCAGAGCCGAAGGACUGGCUGGACCACACAUCUGAAGCGAGGUGCCCCUUAGCAGAGACUGUCAACUUAGAACAGGCAGAGGGACCCUGCUGCAGUCAGCAGCCAAUUCUCCGAGAUUAGCCCAGAUCUCUCUAAGGUAUCCUCUUCCCUUCUCCCUGGGAACCUGACCUAGGAUUGCAGAUUGUUUUUAUAAAGCAAACCUCAGCUCUAACCUACAGACAGGUGAGUUCACACAUCGAAUGCCAGCAGAGCUUUUCUCUUAUGCUGCGGCAACAGCCUUUGGUUGGGAGCCAGGAAAGGGCACGGCUAUGUUGUUGGCAGCCUCUGUUCUGCUGAGUCAAGCAAACGUUGGUCUGCUCUGCUCUUCCUUUGGAGCUGCAUUCGGCCUGCUCUAACUGCUAAGGUAACUCGGUGGUUCCCACUUGGACCAAGCCAUCUUCUACCAUUGUGAAAUCACUGCCACCCUCCCAGCUGCCCACUGCCCCCUCCCUCCCAUAACAUUGCCAUUUAGUUUUGCCUUUGAUAAACUGUGACACACUGUUCUCAGUUCUCAUGGGUACAGUUCUGAAACUCAAAGGACUGUUAACAUGUUUUUAAUUUUAUAUUGAUGCUUUAAAGUUCUUCAAAGAGAAUGCUUUUUCAAAA